This 1048-nucleotide long non-coding RNA is filed under the name Gossypium barbadense (sea-island cotton). RNAcentral describes it as "long non-coding RNA (GBAR_LNC014034)". Lineage: Eukaryota; Viridiplantae; Streptophyta; Magnoliopsida; Malvales; Malvaceae. The record is from RNAcentral.
UCUAUUUCAAGCCUAGGGUUUCUCUUCAUUUUCUUCUUGUUCUUUUCACACCAUUUUAGCCAAAAACCACCCCUUCACUAAUUUCCAGUUAACAAAUCUUCAUUCUCAUUGCCGUUCACCUUUUUUGACUCUUCUCAUUGCCCUCAACCCCUUUCUCAUCUCUUUCUUGAUGCCGUGUAGUCCUUUCAAACCACCAACCAUCACACGUAAAAAAGGUUCCCUUGUUUUCCACCGUCAUUGCCGGUCGUUUCCCUGUCGUUUAUGCACCACCACCAUUGCCCCAUCUUUCUCUCUUCCUUGUUCCCUCACUCUCAACCAUCGCCAAAUCCACUGACCUCACCUUUUCCCUCUUCCUCAAAUUGCCAACAGAACCCAAACCCAUUCAACCUAUUUUCCCUUAUUAACUACUUCCAUCGCUGGCCCCCCUAGACUGUAUUCUCCACCCCUCCUUGACCAUCGUCUGAUAUACCCACGUCAAACAUACUACCGCCGUUCUAGUCUUCAUCGAUGAUGGCUCUUUCAACCUUCGUCGUCGUCGCCUUACCACUGUUUGGUUCCACCCCAUCCUUUUUAUUAUAUUUAUUAUAUUAUUCAUUUAUUUAAUAUUUUAAUUAUUCUUAUCUUAGUUUAUUAGUUUUAUUAUUCUAUGUGUUGUUGCAUUAUUAUUUUUAGUAUUAGGUUUAUUCUAUUUAUUACUGUUAUUAGUUUUAGAUUGUUAGUUUAGUUAUUUUUGCAUGAUUAAUAUUAGUUUUCCCUUUAGUUUAGGAGUAGAAUAUUGCUAUAUUAGUAUUGUGAUUUUGUUUUUGUCAUGUGAUGGUUUGUUGCUGAUGUGUUUCCACUUGUAUGCUAAUUUGUUUGUCUACUAGAUCAAUUAUCGGUGAUGCUUAUUUUUAUGGUUAUAUGAUAUUUGGUUAUUAUCCUUUAUUUCAGGUACAUCAUUACAAACACGAGAGGUAAAACCAAAGCCACUGUCCCUACCUUAAAAAGGAGGAAGACACCGGGUGCGACCUCGUCUUCGAUCCCUACUACAGUCGCAAGACACCCAUGU